This 51-nucleotide transfer RNA is filed under the name Loxosceles amazonica. RNAcentral describes it as "tRNA-Leu". Lineage: Eukaryota; Metazoa; Arthropoda; Arachnida; Araneae; Sicariidae. The record is from RNAcentral.
UUCCUCUCUUAACAAAGCAUUGUACUAGAUUUAGAAUCUAAAUAAGCCUAA